UGGGGAAUAUUGCGCAAUGGGGGAAACCCUGACGCAGCGACGCCGCGUGCGGGAUGAAGGCCUUCGGGUUGUAAACCGCUUUUGAUUGGGAGCAAGCCUUUUGGGUGAGUGUACCUUUCGAAUAAGCGCCGGCUAACUACGUGCCAGCAGCCGCGGUAAUACGUAGGGCGCAAACGUUAUCCGGAAUUAUUGGGCGUAAAGAGCUUGUAGGCGGUUCGUCGCGUCUGGUGUGAAAGCCCAUCGCUUAACGGUGGGUUUGCGCCGGGUACGGGCGGGCUAGAGUGCAGUAGGGGAGACUGGAAUUCCCGGUGUAACGGUGGAAUGUGUAGAUAUCGGGAAGAACACCAAUGGCGAAGGCACGUCGCUGGGCUGUUACUGACGCUGAGAAGCGAAAGCGUGGGGAGCGAACAGG
Molecule: ribosomal RNA, 412 nt
Filed under: Verrucomicrobiota bacterium
Lineage: Bacteria; Pseudomonadati; Verrucomicrobiota
Description: Verrucomicrobia bacterium partial 16S ribosomal RNA
Rfam family: Bacterial small subunit ribosomal RNA
Source: RNAcentral